Molecule: ribosomal RNA, 253 nt
Filed under: uncultured bacterium
Lineage: Bacteria
Description: partial 16S ribosomal RNA
Rfam family: Bacterial small subunit ribosomal RNA
Source: RNAcentral
UACGUAGGGCGCAAGCGUUAUCCGGAAUUAUUGGGCGUAAAGAGCUCGUAGGCGGUUUGUCGCGUCUGUCGUGAAAGUCCGAGGCUUAACUUCGGAUUGGCGGUGGGUACGGGCAGACUAGAGUGCAGUAGGGGAGACUGGAAUUCCUGGUGUAGCGGUGAAAUGCGCAGAUAUCAGGAAGAACACCGAUGGCGAAGGCAGGUCUCUGGGCUGUAACUGACGCUGAGGAGCGAAAGCAUGGGGAGCGAACAGG